UACAGAGGGUGCGAGCGUUGUCCGGAAUCACUGGGCGUAAAGGGCGCGUAGGUGGCCCGACAAGUCGCUGGUGAAAGCUCGACGCUCAACGUCGAGUCGGCCAGUGAUACUGUUGGGCUGGAGCACUGUAGAGGCUCAUGGAAUUCCGGGUGUAGCGGUGGAAUGCGUAGAGAUCCGGAAGAACACCGGUGGCGAAGGCGGUGAGCUGGGCAGUUGCUGACACUGAGGCGCGACAGCGUGGGGAGCAAACAGG
This 253-nucleotide ribosomal RNA is filed under the name uncultured bacterium. RNAcentral describes it as "partial 16S ribosomal RNA". It matches the Rfam family "Bacterial small subunit ribosomal RNA", at positions 524 to 776 of the family's 1533-position model. The record is from RNAcentral.